AGAAAAACAAUGAUAGUUAAUUGUAAAAGCAUAGAAAGGAUUGGGAUUAAGAGAGGAAUGAAUAGCCUUUCCUAUCGCAAGAGAAAGUUCAGGUGCAGAAAUGUAGGCGAAAGGGAGGUUGAAGCAGGAGAUGAUGCUAAAGGAUUAAUAGAGUGAGUCACAAUUGGAGUUUGAAUUUGUCUAUGGUAUUCAAGCAAAGGACAUUGAGGGGAAAAUAUCAUCUAAGCUAGAAUAGGCGAGACUUCUAAAGGCUUGACUAUAAUAUUCAUAUUCAAUAUAGUGGAAGUAUAAAAGGGGUUAGUCUAAAAAAAUGUGACAUCAACAAAAACUAUAUAACGUUGAAGUUGAGGACAAAAACAAUGAUAACCCUUCUGAAGAGGUGAGUAACCAAGGAAAAUACAUUUGAGGGAUUUGG
RNAcentral lists this long non-coding RNA (415 nucleotides) under Vigna radiata. RNAcentral describes it as "long non-coding RNA (VRAD_LNC009291)". Lineage: Eukaryota; Viridiplantae; Streptophyta; Magnoliopsida; Fabales; Fabaceae. The record is from RNAcentral.